UGUAGUUGUGGAUGUAGAUAUGUUGGCCAGACUUUACAGUAUUUGAAGUCUAGAACUGGUCAGCAUAAAUAUAACAUAGACAUCAGUAACAAUGAACAUAGCGCAUUAUGUGAUCAUGCAAUUUCUACUGGUCACACGCCGCUAUGGGAAGAUGUUAAAAUUGUCUAUCGAGAAAGUAAUCAAAAGAAGAGAGACAUUCUAGAAAUGAUUGCGAUAAAAAAGACACCGAAUUGUCUCAACAAACAGACUGAUUGCAUAUUCUUGCCGUCGACAUAAAACAACAUUAUCUGAAAUUCUGGUGAAAUUUGCACUGUGUGCUAUUGCUUUUUUACACGAAUUUGUGUUUUUUACGAUUAGUUAGAUACACUCAGUCUAGUUGAAUGUCUGUUGUUACAGACUUCUUUCAUUGAUUAAUUUAAAGAUUUUUGAUGUUUGUGACUACCAAUGUUUAAGUUUUUAGUAAGUUGACCGGUGAUUAGUUUGCUAAGUUGUUAUUCUAAUGUGAAAUUAUGUAUUUUAGUUUAGCAUUGGAGUCGCAUAUGACGAAGCACACUUUUUAAUGCGUGUCUAAACUUAUUAUAUAAACAUUCGUGGUAUGUGUGUUGCUAUAUGUUGUAUUAUGAUUAGGUCCUCAUGAAAUUAAUGUUUUCAGCCACUGAUGAUGGCAUCUAUUUGAUGUCGAAAUUAAUUUGGCAAAAAUAAAUUGAUUUUGGAACAAAUUGAGCGAUACCGAUUUUCUCUACAAGUAA
Long non-coding RNA from Bradysia coprophila, 749 nucleotides. The record is from RefSeq and is a predicted model, not a curated record. Lineage: Eukaryota; Metazoa; Arthropoda; Insecta; Diptera; Sciaridae.